AUUAACGCUGGCGGCAUGCCUAAUGCAUGCAAGUAGAACGAGUCUCGCAAGAGACUAGUUGCGAACGGCUGAGUAAUGAAUAGGAAUCUCCCCAAUGGUGUGGAAUACCUCAUCGAAAGAUGAGCUAAUACCGCAUGACCUUGAAAGAGAAAAGCGCCUAACCGCGCACCGAUGGAUGAGCCUAUUUCCCAUCAGGCUGUUGGUAGGGUAAUGGCCUACCAAACCUAUGACGGGUAGGGGGCGUGAGAGCGCGUUCCCCCAGAAUGGGACUGAGACACGGCCCAUACACCUACGGGUGGCAGCAACAGGGAAUCGUACACAAUGGACGAAAGUCUGAUGUCGCAAUGCCGCGUGGAGGAUGAAGGCCUUCGGGUCGUAAACUCCUUUUACAGUAAUAGAGAUGUUAUUGAGAAUAAGCACCUGCUAACUCUGU
RNAcentral lists this ribosomal RNA (433 nucleotides) under uncultured bacterium. RNAcentral describes it as "bacterial SSU rRNA". It matches the Rfam family "Bacterial small subunit ribosomal RNA", at positions 29 to 506 of the family's 1533-position model. The record is from RNAcentral.